GAUGAACGCUGGCGGCGUGCUUAACACAUGCAAGUCGAACGGUGAAGCAGAGCUUGCUCUGUGGAUCAGUGGCGAACGGGUGAGUAACACGUGAGCAACCUGCCCCUGACUCUGGGAUAAGCGCUGGAAACGGCGUCUAAUACUGGAUAUGAGCUGCGACCGCAUGGUCAGCAGUUGGAAAGAUUUUUCGGUCUGGGAUGGGCUCACGGCCUAUCAGCUUGUUGGUGAGGUAAUGGCUCACCAAGGCGUCGACGGGUAGCCGGCCUGAGAGGGUGACCGGCCACACUGGGACUGAGACACGGCCCAGACUCCUACGGGAGGCAGCAGUGGGGAAUAUUGCACAAUGGGCGAAAGCCUGAUGCAGCAACGCCGCGUGAGGGAUGACGGCCUUCGGGUUGUAAACCUCUUUUAGCAGGGAAGAAGGGAAAGUGACGGUACCUGCAGAAAAAGCGCCGGCUAACUACGUG
This 467-nucleotide ribosomal RNA is filed under the name uncultured bacterium. Its description in RNAcentral is "partial 16S ribosomal RNA". It matches the Rfam family "Bacterial small subunit ribosomal RNA", at positions 28 to 507 of the family's 1533-position model. The record is from RNAcentral.